This 468-nucleotide ribosomal RNA is filed under the name uncultured bacterium. Its description in RNAcentral is "partial 16S ribosomal RNA". It matches the Rfam family "Bacterial small subunit ribosomal RNA", at positions 28 to 507 of the family's 1533-position model. The record is from RNAcentral.
GACGAACGCUGGCGGCGUGCUUAACACAUGCAAGUCGAACGGAAAGGCCCUGCUUUUGUGGGGUGCUCGAGUGGCGAACGGGUGAGUAACACGUGAGUAACCUGCCCUUGACUUUGGGAUAACUUCAGGAAACUGGGGCUAAUACCGGAUAGGAGCUCCUGCUGCAUGGUGGGGGUUGGAAAGUUUCGGCGGUUGGGGAUGGACUCGCGGCUUAUCAGAUUGUUGGUGGGGUAGUGGCUUACCAAGGCUUUGACGGGUAGCCGGCCUGAGAGGGUGACCGGCCACAUUGGGACUGAGAUACGGCACAGACUCCUACGGGAGGCAGCAGUGGGGAAUAUUGCACAAUGGGCGGAAGCCUGAUGCAGCAACGCCGCGUGCGGGAUGACGGCCUUCGGGUUGUAAACCGCUUUCGCCUGUGACGAAGCGUGAGUGGCGGUAAUGGGUAAAGAAGCACCGGCUAACUACGUG